CGGGACGGGUGAGUAACGCGUGGGUAACCUGCCUCAUACAGGGGGAUAACAGUUGGAAACGACUGCUAAUACCGCAUAAGCGCACGGGAUUGCAUGAUCCAGUGUGAAAAACUCCGGUGGUAUGAGAUGGACCCGCGUCUGAUUAGCCAGUUGGCGGGGUAGCGGCCCACCAAAGCGACGAUCAGUAGCCGACCUGAGAGGGUGACCGGCCACAUUGGGACUGAGACACGGCCCAA
RNAcentral lists this ribosomal RNA (236 nucleotides) under uncultured bacterium. Its description in RNAcentral is "partial 16S ribosomal RNA". It matches the Rfam family "Bacterial small subunit ribosomal RNA", at positions 100 to 334 of the family's 1533-position model. The record is from RNAcentral.